Small nuclear RNA from Perognathus longimembris pacificus (Pacific pocket mouse), 107 nucleotides. NCBI's taxonomy places the organism in Eukaryota, Metazoa, Chordata, Mammalia, Rodentia, Heteromyidae. The record is from RefSeq and is a predicted model, not a curated record.
GUGCUCGCUUCUGCAGCACAUAUACUAAAAUUGGAACAAUACAAAGAAGAUUAGGAUGGCCCCUGUGCAAGGAUGACACCUAAAUUUGUGAAACGUUCCAUAUUUUU